Molecule: long non-coding RNA, 655 nt
Filed under: Papio anubis (olive baboon)
Lineage: Eukaryota; Metazoa; Chordata; Mammalia; Primates; Cercopithecidae
Description: lncRNA (ENSPANG00000040307.1)
Source: RNAcentral
AUGGGCAAACUGAGACCGCAAGCCCUGGCGAUGUGCUCAGACAGAUGCGCAUGUCCCCCGCUCCAGCUUCCAGGCUCCCAGGCUUCAGUCUUUAGUCGGCCUUUGUUCUGCCACUUUCUCCUGGAAGUCACACCUCCCUCUCUUCCUGCCUGCCACAUCACAGGAGUCUGCACGCACCCAACCGGCUCAAGAGGCUCUGACAGGGAGGAAGCACACAUCCUCUUCACUGCGGAUUCUUUCUUCUUCUUCACGCGGUCCCCAGUUACUGGAGCGCUGCAGAAAAUGUGUAGCCAGGCACAUGUCAAUGACACGUUUCAGCAGGGUGCCUCCUCAGAUGUGGGACUUCCAGGUCAAGCAAUGCAUGAUUCUGAUAUUGGUUGAAAUUGCCCUCUGGGUUAAUCUGUAUUUAAAUCAAAUCCUGAAACAGAAAUGGUCAAAACAAUUCUUGGUUAUACUUAUUUGGAAGACAUGCAAUGAAUGAAACCAAACAAACAAACAAAAUCUCUUCCCCCAAGCGCCUAACCCCUCAGCUGGAAUUCACCGAGCUCUGCUAAAUUAUUGCUGGUUUUUAAAUCAUAGAAUGUGGUUUGUGGAAUUGUACUCAUAAAUGGCGAAAAUGUAACAAAUGCACACAUAGUAACUAAGUAAAUUGGCC